GCCUUACUAGUGGACUCAGACUCGCUGCUCAUUGCAAGUCUGACAAGUCUGGUUCAUUUGAGAGGCAGAAGAAGGAGCAGUGGGCUUGGCUGCGGUCGUAAUGCAAGGAGGCUACAAAGCUCCUGUGGAGUGUCCUUCAGCUUCAGAACAAGAGCCUCAUAGUAGCCCCGCAUUGGAGUAUUUGUGCAUCAAGAGGACAAACAAGUGCCCCUGAACGGGGCUCUGACAGCGAGAAAUUUGGAGGUUGUGGCUAGUGAUUAUUGCUUAAAGAGGUACUGACGCAAA
Long non-coding RNA from Rhipicephalus microplus (southern cattle tick), 285 nucleotides. Lineage: Eukaryota; Metazoa; Arthropoda; Arachnida; Ixodida; Ixodidae. The record is from RefSeq and is a predicted model, not a curated record.